Molecule: ribosomal RNA, 484 nt
Filed under: uncultured bacterium
Lineage: Bacteria
Description: partial 16S ribosomal RNA
Rfam family: Bacterial small subunit ribosomal RNA
Source: RNAcentral
GACGAACGCUGGCGGCGUGCUUAACACAUGCAAGUCGAACGAUGAAGCCGGAGCUUGCUCUGGUGGAUUAGUGGCGAACGGGUGAGUAACACGUGAGUAACCUGCCCUUGACUCUGGGAUAACUGCGGGAAACUGUAGCUAAUACCGGAUACGACCCUCGGCGGCAUCGCCAGGGGGUGGAAAGAAUUUCGGUCAAGGAUGGACUCGCGGCCUAUCAGCUAGUUGGUGAGGUAACGGCUCACCAAGGCGACGACGGGUAGCCGGCCUGAGAGGGUGACCGGCCACACUGGGACUGAGACACGGCCCAGACUCCUACGGGAGGCAGCAGUGGGGAAUAUUGCGCAAUGGGCGCAAGCCUGAUGCAGCAACGCCGCGUGAGGGAUGACGGCCUUCGGGUUGUAAACCUCUUUUAGUAGGGAAGAAGCGAAAGUGACGGUACCUGCAGAAAAAGCACCGGCUAACUACGUGCCAGCCGCCGCAGUAA